GAGUGAAGCAUCUGUGUGGUUUUCUGGAGAGUCCAGGAUGUAAACUUGAAACUCUGAGAGUGAGUGUCUGUGGUUUGUCAGGGAUCAGCUGUGAUUAUCUGGCAGCAGCUCUGAAGUCCAACCCCUCCCAUCUGAGAGAGCUGGACCUGAGCAGAAACAACCUGGAGGAUCCAGAUGUGAAGCAGCUGUCUGAUCUUCAGCAGAGUCCAGACUGCAGACUGGAGACUCUGAGGUUGAACAGCAGCAGCAGCUUGUGUGACUGACAGAGGAAUGAGAAGAAGUGCAGAUGAAUGUCAGUGCUGCAGAGUGAACUGCUCUGAGAACAGCUCCACUGUCAGACACAAUGUAGAGUCCAGCAUCAUCCCUGUGUGUCCCUCUGGAUCUGACAGAGGAUCAUCAGUGUAUCUGGACUGCUCUGCUGCUGCUCUGUCCUUCUACAGUCUCUGCACAGUCUCUGUCUGACACUGGCUUCA
This is a long non-coding RNA of Oreochromis niloticus (Nile tilapia), 473 nucleotides long. RefSeq lists it as uncharacterized. The record is from RefSeq and is a predicted model, not a curated record. The transcript has 3 exons. NCBI's taxonomy places the organism in Eukaryota, Metazoa, Chordata, Actinopteri, Cichliformes, Cichlidae.